Molecule: ribosomal RNA, 253 nt
Filed under: uncultured bacterium
Lineage: Bacteria
Description: partial 16S ribosomal RNA
Rfam family: Bacterial small subunit ribosomal RNA
Source: RNAcentral
UACAGAGGGUGCAAGCGUUGUUCGGAAUUACUGGGCGUAAAGCGCGUGUAGGUGGCGAUGUAAGUCGGGUGUGAAAUCCCUCGGCUCAACCGAGGAAGUGCACUCGAUACUGUGUCGCUUGAGUGUUGGAGGGGAUGGCGGAAUUCCCGGUGUAGAGGUGAAAUUCGUAGAUAUCAGGAAGAACACCGGUGGCGAAGGCGGCUCGCUGGGCCAGUUCUGACACUCAUCCGCGAAAGCGUGGGGAGCAAACAGG